UCCCCUCCCAGUGCCUGGCCCAUAGAUAUCUGAUGAAUUACUGGGUACCUGUUCUGUGCAGAUGCUGUGUGGGUACAGAAAUCACCACGGACCAAGGCCCUGCUUUCUUGGAGCUUCUGCUCUAGUUGGGAGAUACAAACAAAAUACAAAUUACAAACAUAAUACACCACAUGAUACAUAUGCUAAGAAGAAAAUAGAGCCUAGCAAAGAGACAGUGAGACAGGGUGAGGGAUGCUGUUUUAAAUAUAAUGCUCCUAUUGGUAGAGAGGAGACCCCCUUUUGUUGAAUGUAUUCUGGUUGGUGCAGCCAGACCAACACAUGACAUUCAGCUACAGCAGGUAGCAGGUAGCAGGUGUCGGCAACAGCAACCCCAGGCCAAGGACGGCCCCCAUCUCCUGUUUUCGUACGUGAAGUUUUAUUGGAACAUAGCAAUUCCCAUUUGUUUACCUAUUGUCUAUGACUGUUUUCAGACUACAAUGGCAGAGUUGCACAGUGGUGACAGAAACCGUAUGUCUCUUGCAGAAAAAGUUUGCUGACCUCUGAAUUAGAGACUCACGCAAUACAAUGCAUCAUCAGUGGCAGAUUGCCAUGUGAACAGACCCUAAAUUCUAUGGUAAUGACUCUGUGUCAUUCCCUUCCUCUGCAAUAGGGAUAGUGCUUUCUUUGACUCAAUUUUCCUAGGCACUGUGUUGGUACACGGACGCGGAUCCCUCAGUUCCUGAGGGGGCGAGAAGGUGGAGGUGCCCAGAAAGCAGGCUUCAGCUGAUAAAAUUCAAAGCUUUGAGAUACGCCUUUGAUGUUGGUAUUCUCUGCAGAUUCGAUAUUAUUUUAAGUCUCUUUGUUUAAAAAUUCAUUUUUAUUAUCCCUGCAUGAAAUGCAUGGCAAUUCCCCAAAUAACGAGCCAUCAGUGCAAUUAACAUCGUCGAUCGACACCAGCGUCCUGAUAAUUAAUACAGACGCGCUGCCUCCCCAGCGAGAACUGUGAGGGCUUGAUUUUUCAGAGCAACUGUUCAUUUACAGACUCAGCUUCAACCUAAUGAAAAUGGAUUGUGAAACUUUAAUGAACAAGACUUUGCUGUCAUAAUAAUAAAGACUUUGAAACAACGCGGAGGCCUCCAUAGCAAGCGUCUGGCGCCGUGCUUGUUGCUACGGUACGUCAAACCAAUUAAGCCGUAUGAUGAAUAUUUACACCGAGGUUUUUUUCAACUCUAUGACAUAAGAUAAACUCGUAAAAGUGAGCAUUAAUUCUGCAUCAACAGUUUCUGACAUUACAUCGCGGCAAAGAUGCAUCCGCCCAGCCAAAAGGCUGCGUCUGCCCACCUCUGUUUUGUCUUAAUAAAUGUCAACAAAGGAUUAGAAUGCUCCGAAAAUCCAA
Long non-coding RNA from Felis catus (domestic cat), 1375 nucleotides. RefSeq lists it as uncharacterized. NCBI's taxonomy places the organism in Eukaryota, Metazoa, Chordata, Mammalia, Carnivora, Felidae. The record is from RefSeq and is a predicted model, not a curated record. The transcript is spliced from 2 exons.